This 468-nucleotide ribosomal RNA is filed under the name uncultured bacterium. Its description in RNAcentral is "partial 16S ribosomal RNA". It matches the Rfam family "Bacterial small subunit ribosomal RNA", at positions 28 to 507 of the family's 1533-position model. The record is from RNAcentral.
GACGAACGCUGGCGGCGUGCUUAACACAUGCAAGUCGAACGGCAAGGCCCUGCUUUUGUGGGGUGCUCGGGUGGCGAACGGGUGCGUGACACGUGUGUAACCUGCCCUUGAUUUUGGGAUAACUUCAGGAAACUAGGGCUAAUACCGGAUAGGAGCCCCUGCUGCAUGGUGGGGGUUGGAAAGUUUCGGCUGUUGGGGUUGGAUUCGCGGCUUACCGGCUUGUUGGUGGGGUAGUGGCUUACCCAGGCUUUGACGGAUAGCCGGCUUGAGAGGGGGACCGGCCACAUUGGGACUGAGAUACGGCCCAGACUCCUACGGGAGGCAGCAGUGGGGAAUAUUGCACAAUGGGCGGGAGCCUGAUGCAGCAGCGCCGCGUGCGGGAUGACGGCCUUCGGGGUGUAAACCGCUUUCGCCUGUGACGAAGCGUGAGUGACGGUAAUGGGUAAAUAAGCACCGGCUAACUACGUG